This 345-nucleotide unclassified non-coding RNA is filed under the name soil metagenome. RNAcentral's name for it is "partial contains 5.8S ribosomal RNA, internal transcribed spacer 2, and large subunit ribosomal RNA". The stretch from base 1 to 120 matches the Rfam family "5.8S ribosomal RNA", at positions 35 to 154 of the family's 154-position model. The record is from RNAcentral.
GAUGAAGAACGCAGCGAAAUGCGAUACGUAAUGUGAAUUGCAGAAUUCAGUGAAUCAUCGAGUCUUUGAACGCACAUUGUGCCCCCUGGUAUUCCGGGGGGCAUGCCUGUCCUAGCGUCAUUGCUGCCCUCAAGCACGGCUUGUGUGUUGGGCCUCCGUCCUCCUCCCGGGGGACGGGCCCGAAAGGCAGCGGCGGCACCGCGUCCGGUCCUCGAGCGUAUGGGGCUUCGUCACCCGCUCUUGUAGGCCCGGCCGGCGCUUGCCGACACAUCAAUCUUUUUUCCAGGUUGACCUCGGAUCAGGUAGGGAUACCCGCUGAACUUAAGCAUAUCAAUAAGCGGAGGA